RNAcentral lists this ribosomal RNA (253 nucleotides) under uncultured prokaryote. RNAcentral's name for it is "partial 16S ribosomal RNA". It matches the Rfam family "Bacterial small subunit ribosomal RNA", at positions 524 to 776 of the family's 1533-position model. The record is from RNAcentral.
UACAGAGGGGGCAAGCGUUGUUCGGAAUUACUGGGCGUAAAGGGCGCGUAGGCGGCCUGCUAAGUCGAACGUGAAAUCCCCGAGCUCAACUCGGGAACUGCGUCCGAUACUGGUUGGCUUGAAUCCGGGAGAGGGAUGCGGAAUUCCAGGUGUAGCGGUGAAAUGCGUAGAUAUCUGGAGGAACACCGGUGGCGAAGGCGGCAUCCUGGACCGACACUGACGCUGAUGAGCGAAAGCCAGGGGAGCAAACGGG